RNAcentral lists this ribosomal RNA (253 nucleotides) under uncultured bacterium. RNAcentral describes it as "partial 16S ribosomal RNA". It matches the Rfam family "Bacterial small subunit ribosomal RNA", at positions 524 to 776 of the family's 1533-position model. The record is from RNAcentral.
GACGGAGGGUGCAAGCGUUGCUCGGAAUCACUGGGCGUAAAGGGUGCGUAGGUGGGCAGGUAAGUCAGUGGUGAAAUCUCCGGGCUUAACCCGGAAACUGCCAUUGAUACUAUCAGUCUUGAAUACCGUGGAGGUAAGCGGAAUAUGUCAUGUAGCGGUGAAAUGCUUAGAUAUGACAUAGAACACCAAUUGCGAAGGCAGCUUACUACCCGAAUAUUGACACUGAGGCACGAAAGCGUGGGGAUCAAACAGG